This 1007-nucleotide long non-coding RNA is filed under the name Takifugu rubripes (torafugu). RNAcentral describes it as "lncRNA (ENSTRUG00000031033.1)". Lineage: Eukaryota; Metazoa; Chordata; Actinopteri; Tetraodontiformes; Tetraodontidae. The record is from RNAcentral.
UGCAUUUUCAACGUGCGCGGUGCUCUAAUGUAUGCGUGCCAAGGCAAUAAAACCCAGUUUUAUUCUCUUAUUCAAGCGACCUUCUGUCAAAAGACCCAGAGUGCGUCGUGAAAAGGCGAUAAUUGUGUCUCUGGCGGUCCGAGACGUGUCGGCGGGGGACGUUGUCCACGUCCUGCAGGCCCUCCUAAUCACACGGGGGCGUGGAGGAGCUGAUCAUUUCCCACAGCUAGCACUGCAGGCAGGCGCACCUGUCGGCAAUCUACAUCAGGCCACCUAUUUAAGGACGGAGCGCCUGUCUGCCAGUGUUGGAGAGUUUUGGUGGUUUCCCAUGGUCUCCACGCUGCCCUGCUGGACUGUAGAACGUGCAGGACCUGACUCCUGUGUUGGCUCCAUGCUGGAGGUCUUUGUGUGCCCCGGAAGACCGGAUGAGUGCCUCCCUGCGGUCCAGGAGCCAAAUUGAUCUUUGAAUAAAAACUUAGACUUUUUACCACUGCAUUCUACCUGCUUUUGGGUCCUGGAAAAAACCCAAAACCUAACAAACCUAACAAUUUUGCUUGGACCAGCAAAUCAGAGGAUGGAAAUGUGAUUGGUUAAGGAAUCAAUGCCUGAUAGAAACUGGACAGCAAGCAGAAAGUGUUUAUUGUUGCUGACACACCCAGAACCCGUCACAGACAUUAAAUAUUAUUUAAAUUAUUGAACAUUUGUUAAAGAACACUCAUAAUACUAAGACAACUUCUCAAACUGGCUGCUAUCCAACCAGGUUGCUCCUUCAGCAAUCAUGAUGUGCGUGUCAGAUGUUUGCAGCACCUGGUGUGGACCCACCCAGAGGCAAUGUUUCCUUCGCCUGCUGCUGGGAUUCUUUAUCAUGAUCCAGUUGCCUGGCUUAAGAUCAUGUAGUGGUUUGGAUGGAGAGGAUGGGAGGUGUUCCUCAACCUGCUAAGAGAGAAAACCACUUCUUAGUUUUGCAACCUUUUAUCUUCACACAAACUCAUGACCUCACUAAAGGU